Long non-coding RNA from Octopus bimaculoides (California two-spot octopus), 1208 nucleotides. NCBI's taxonomy places the organism in Eukaryota, Metazoa, Mollusca, Cephalopoda, Octopoda, Octopodidae. The record is from RefSeq and is a predicted model, not a curated record.
UUGGUUGACACUUGCCCAAGGUAUGCUGUACAGAGGGAUGUAACCUGAAGCCAAAUAGUUAUGAAGUGAACUACAUGCCUUUGCCUCUCUGUAUAUCAGAAUGUAUCAAUGUAUAGAAGGGUGGAUGGACAGAUAGAUGGAUGCAUGAAAGCUAUUAACUCUUUUGGUCAUUAACAAUUUCUUUUUCUGAGUGAAGAUGUGUGCAGUAAUGAGAGCUGAUGUGACAGAGAAUAAUGACAAGUGGAGGGACAUUGUAUUAAAAGUGACCUAGCUAACAUGUCAUCUUGGAAAAAUGGAUGCAAAACAAUGAUGUUGAUGAUAAUGAUAUAUAUAUAUAUAUAUAUAUAUUAUUUCAGAAUUCAUUUCUCUUUCCCUCUUUUAUACUACGUACACAUCUAUAUGCAUGGGAAAGAUGUAAUUAGAUCAGUUUGAGAGUUAUAUCGUACAAAUGAGAUAGCACAGGCUCAAUACAGAUGGAGAGAUGCAGUACUACAAAUUUGACCCAUCCAUUUCAAUGCUAUAAAUAACUUGACCUAAAAGUGAUAUUACUGAUGGAAAUCAUACAGUCCUUCCCGUUGUCAACAAUAAUCUUUUUCUAUAACAAUGGUUGAUCUGGUGAAGCAAAAACUAAUGAAUAGACCUGUAAAACAAUGAUUAGAUUAAGAAACUUAGAUGCUCAAGAUGUAAGUUAUGCUAAUAUUGAUUCGAUUAGAAUCCCUUGCAGGGCAACAACCCAGAAAAGCAGGAAGGGUAUCCAAGAAAAGAAAAUUUGCCUCAAUGAAAAGACUGGAAAUGUGGAUGUUAAAAUGAUGAUGGUUAUGAUGAUAAUGGUGAUAAAAGGAUACACUUAGAUGACAUUUCACUCAUAAUAAAUAAAACUAACCAAUAAUAUUAAUAAAUGGAUUAACUAGGAGGUGAUAGUUGGAAAUAACUUCAUCAUUCUCCAUAUAUUACUUAAGAAAGAAUUUUUCACACACUUUUUACAAGUUUUUUAGUUAUGAAUUUAUAGAUAAGCUCUUCCUUUAGUCAAUUUAUUCACAUACUUAAUGUUGCAGGGUUUAAAAUCCAUUAUAUAUUUGACAAAUAUUGCUUAUUCUUAAGUUUCUCUGAAUAUUCUGUAUUCUGUUUUGUAUUCCCCCUUUGCAAGGAUGCUCAACACAUCAUUCUAUAAAAUUCGAUAUUAUAAACCCAAUAAAGAAGAUAACUAA